GUGUCCAGCCGCGGUAAUACGUAGGUGGCACGCGUUGUCCGGAUUUAUUGGGCGUAAAGGGAGCGCAGGCGGUCUUUUAAGUCUGAAUGUGAAAGCCCUCAGCUUAACUGAGGAAGCGCAUCGGAAACUGAGAGACUUGAGUGCAGAAGAGGAGAGUGGAACUCCAUGUGUAGCGGUGAAAUGCGUAGAUAUAUGGAAGGACACCAGUGGCGAAGGCGGCUCUCUGGUCUGUUACUGACGCUGAGGCUCGAAAGCAUGGGUAGCGAACAGGAUUAGAUACCCUGGUAGUCCAUGCCGUAAACGAUGAGUGCUAAGUGUUGGGAGGUUUCCGCCUCUCAGUGCUGCAGCUAACGCAUUAAGCACUCCGCCUGGGGAGUACGACCGCAAGGUUGAAACUCAAAUAAAUUGGCGG
Molecule: ribosomal RNA, 412 nt
Filed under: uncultured bacterium
Lineage: Bacteria
Description: bacterial SSU rRNA
Rfam family: Bacterial small subunit ribosomal RNA
Source: RNAcentral